AGGAACCUGGAUUGAAUGGUGAUACACAGUGUCAGGAAGGCUAAGGUGUUGAACAACAGUAUACACUUGUUCAACAGCAUAGACUUAAUGUCUGUUAGCAGUUAUAUAAUAACGUGUGUGUUGACAGUCAUUGCAAAUUCUGAAACAAUUAAAAUGUCUUACAUCAGAAAUAUGGAGAUCAAAUUAUCCAUUACUGGAAAUUAUCAUUAAAGGAAAUCAAUUGACUGGAUAGACCUCAUAUUUACUCCAAAUGACAACACAUGACGAGUUGUCAUCGAUGAAUUAUAAGGAAGUUGGCAAGCGGUUAUUCCAUAAACAAAAAUUAGUCAAACGAAUAUAAUCCAGGAUUGAGACCACAGUAAAAAAUAAUUAGUUUUCCUAAAAGUAGGAAAUGAAACCACAAUCUAAAUGCUUAUACCUUCUUGGAAAAACGAGUAGCAAGGAUUUCAUAUGAGAUGGAGG
Molecule: long non-coding RNA, 462 nt
Organism: Sipha flava (yellow sugarcane aphid)
Lineage: Eukaryota; Metazoa; Arthropoda; Insecta; Hemiptera; Aphididae
Exons: 4
Source: RefSeq, a predicted model, not a curated record